AAUCAACGCUGGCGGCGUGCCUAAUACAUGCAAGUCGAACGAGAAAGUCCCCGCAAGGGGAUGAGUAAAGUGGCGAACGGGUGAGUAACACGUGACUAACCUGCCCUUGAGUGGGGGAUAACCCCGGGAAACCGGGGCUAAUACCGCAUAACAUCGCGAGUCCGCAGGGACAUGCGAUCAAAGGAGCAACACGCUCAAGGAGGGGGUCGCGGCUGAUUAGCUAGUUGGUGAGGUAACGGCUCACCAAGGCGAUGAUCAGUAUCCGGCCUGAGAGGGCGCACGGACACACUGGAACUGAAACACGGUCCAGACUCCUACGGGAGGCAGCAGUGGGGAAUUUUGCGCAAUGGGGGAAACCCUGACGCAGCAACGCCGCGUGGAGGAUGAAGUCCCUUGGGACGUAAACUCCUUUCGACCGGGACGAUAAUGACGGUACCGGUGGAAGAAGCCCCGGCUAACUUCGUGCCAGCAGCCGCGGUAAUACGAGGGGGCAAGCGUUGUUCGGAAUUAUUGGGCGUAAAGGGCGCGGU
This 530-nucleotide ribosomal RNA is filed under the name uncultured bacterium. RNAcentral describes it as "bacterial SSU rRNA". It matches the Rfam family "Bacterial small subunit ribosomal RNA", at positions 28 to 573 of the family's 1533-position model. The record is from RNAcentral.